UGAGAAUUUGGCCUCUGUCCA
Molecule: microRNA, 21 nt
Filed under: Glycine max (soybean)
Lineage: Eukaryota; Viridiplantae; Streptophyta; Magnoliopsida; Fabales; Fabaceae
Description: gma-miR5038a
Source: miRBase by way of RNAcentral